RNAcentral lists this ribosomal RNA (380 nucleotides) under uncultured eukaryote. RNAcentral's name for it is "partial 18S ribosomal RNA". It matches the Rfam family "Eukaryotic small subunit ribosomal RNA", at positions 592 to 976 of the family's 1831-position model. The record is from RNAcentral.
CAAUAGCGUAUAUUAAAGUUGUUGCGGUUAAAAAGCUCGUAGUUGGAUUUCUGCUGAGAACGACCGGUCCGCCCUCUGGGUGUGUAUCUGGCUCUUUCUUGGCAUCUUCUUGGUGAACGUUGCUGCACUUGACUGUGUGGAGCGCUACCCAGGACUUUUACUUUGAGGAAAUUAGAGUGUUUCAAGCAGGCAUACGCCUUGAAUACAUUAGCAUGGAAUAAUAAGAUAGGACCUCGGUUCUAUUUUGUUGGUUUCUAGAGCUGAGGUAAUGAUUAAUAGGGAUAGUUGGGGGCAUUCGUAUUUAACUGGCAGAGGUGAAAUUCUUGGAUUUGUUAAAGACGGACUACUGCGAAAGCAUUUGCCAAGGAUGUUUUCAUUGA